UGAGUAACGCGUGGGUAACCUGCCUCAUACAGGGGGAUAGCAGCUGGAAACGGCUGGUAAUACCGCAUAAGCGCACAGUACCACAUGGUACAGUGUGAAAAACUCCGGUGGUAUGAGAUGGACCCGCGUCUGAUUAGCUGGUUGGCGGGAUAACGGCCCACCAAGGCGACGAUCAGUAGCCGACCUGAGAGGGUGACCGGCCACAUUGGGACUGAGACACGGCCCAG
This 227-nucleotide ribosomal RNA is filed under the name uncultured bacterium. RNAcentral describes it as "partial 16S ribosomal RNA". It matches the Rfam family "Bacterial small subunit ribosomal RNA", at positions 107 to 334 of the family's 1533-position model. The record is from RNAcentral.